Molecule: long non-coding RNA, 205 nt
Organism: Arabidopsis thaliana (thale cress)
Lineage: Eukaryota; Viridiplantae; Streptophyta; Magnoliopsida; Brassicales; Brassicaceae
Product: other RNA
Exons: 1
Source: RefSeq
GCAAUGUAUUGGUUGGGCUUCUUAAUUAUGAAACAAAUGGGCUUUGCAAUAACAAGUUAAGUUUCUCGAUCAAGCUAAGCAAUAUCUCAGCUCGUGUGUUGAUUGUUUCUUUUCUUGGUCAAUUCCAUCAAGCUAUAUUUCUUCUAGUCACGGUUUCGUACCGUUGCCUCUAUCCGAAUCCAUGCAACCUCCCCAACCAUAUAUA